AGUGAACGCUGGCGGUAGGCCUAACACAUGCAAGUCGAACGGCAGCACAGUAAGAGCUUGCUCUUACGGGUGGCGAGUGGCGGACGGGUGAGGAAUACAUCGGAAUCUACUUUUUCGUGGGGGAUAACGUAGGGAAACUUACGCUAAUACCGCAUACGACCUACGGGUGAAAGCAGGGGAUCUUCGGACCUUGCGCGAUUGAAUGAGCCGAUGUCGGAUUAGCUAGUUGGCGGGGUAAAGGCCCACCAAGGCGACGAUCCGUAGCUGGUCUGAGAGGAUGAUCAGCCACACUGGAACUGAGACACGGUCCAGACUCCUACGGGAGGCAGCAGUGGGGAAUAUUAGACAAUGGGCGCAAGCCUGAUCCAGCCAUACCGCGUGGGUGAAGAAGGCCUUCGGGUUGUAAAGCCCUUUUGUUGGGAAAGAAAAGCAGCAGGUUAAUACCCCGCUGCUCUGACGGUAUCCAAAGAAUAAGCACCGGCUAACUUCGUG
RNAcentral lists this ribosomal RNA (492 nucleotides) under uncultured bacterium. Its description in RNAcentral is "partial 16S ribosomal RNA". It matches the Rfam family "Bacterial small subunit ribosomal RNA", at positions 29 to 507 of the family's 1533-position model. The record is from RNAcentral.